AUUGAACGCUGGCGGCAGGCCUAACACAUGCAAGUCGAACGGUAACAGGAAGCAGCUUGCUGCUUCGCUGACGAGUGGCGGACGGGUGAGUAAUGUCUGGGAAACUGCCUGAUGGAGGGGGAUAACUACUGGAAACGGUAGCUAAUACCGCAUAACGUCGCAAGACCAAAGAGGGGGACCUUAGGGCCUCUUGCCAUCGGAUGUGCCCAGAUGGGAUUAGCUAGUAGGUGGGGUAGCGGCUCACCUAGGCGACGAUCCCUAGCUGGUCUGAGAGGAUGACCAGCCACACUGGAACUGAGACACGGUCCAGACUCCUACGGGAGGCAGCAGUGGGGAAUAUUGCACAAUGGGCGCAAGCCUGAUGCAGCCAUGCCGCGUGUAUGAAGAAGGCCUUCGGGUUGUAAAGUACUUUCAGCGGGGAGGAAGGGAGUAAAGUUAAUACCUUUGCUCAUUGACGUUACCCGCAGAAGAAGCACCGGCUAACUCCGUG
This 490-nucleotide ribosomal RNA is filed under the name uncultured bacterium. RNAcentral's name for it is "partial 16S ribosomal RNA". It matches the Rfam family "Bacterial small subunit ribosomal RNA", at positions 30 to 507 of the family's 1533-position model. The record is from RNAcentral.